AAGUAUCUCUUUUAUUUAUAAAUUCCAUUAUUUAUUUUGAUAUAUUAUGGGCGUUAUCCUUGACAGAUCUCCGUUUCUCGUGCUUCUGCUUCACACGUUUUCCUUCAAACUCAUCUUCUACUUACCAUUAUCUGAUGCCUUAAGGAGACAAAUUCUCAUGGACUGCAAUGAUUUCAGGAUUUGCUGCAAAAAUUUUAAGACUUUCAAGCAUAUGCAAUUGGCAGGUAUAAAGCCAACUUCCACUACCUUUGCUAGCAUCCUCCCUGCUCGUGCCAAAACGGGAGCUUUGGAACUGCGUUGACAUCCAUCAAAGCAUAAAGGAUAGAAGAAAGUAAGUGAACUGUUUGACAAAAUGCCACAAAAAAAAUGUGAUUUUAUGGAAUGUCUGAAUGCGUGAAAUGUACAAAAUGAGUAUGGUGAAAAAGAUCUAGAAACUUUCGAGCAAAUGCCAUUGGCAGGUGUAAAUCCAAAUUCCACAACCUUUCAAAGCAUCCUCUCUUCCUGUGAGCUUUAGAACAGGGUAUGAACAUCCAUAAAAGCACAAAGGAAAGAGAAAUAUUGUCAUAUGUUGUAGUUGCAAAUGGCCUGGUAGAAGUAUAUGCACAAUGUGGAAGCAUUGAGAAGGCAAGUGAACUGUUUUAAAGAAUGCCUCAAAGAAAUGUGAUCACAUGGAAUACACACAAAUGGAUAUGUUGAAAAGGCUUUAAAAACCUUCAUGCAAAUGCAAUUGGCAGGUGUGAAGUCAAAUUCUACAACCUUUGCUAGCAUCCUUCCUGCUGUCCAAAAAUGGGAGCUUUGGAACAUGGUAUGGAUAUCCAUCGAAGCAUAAAGGAUAGAGAAAUAUUUUCAGAUUUUGUAGUAGCAACUGCCUUGGUAGACAUGUAUGAAAAAUGUGGAGAAGGCACAGACAAAGCAUGUGAAGUGUUUGACAGAAUACCUCAAAGAAAUUUGAUCUCAUGGAUUGCCAUGAUUGCAGGAUAAACUUAAACUAGAUUUGUUGAAAAGGCAUUAGAAUCUUUCAAGAAAACACAAGUGGAGAUUAUACCUGAAAGAAAUGUGGUGUCAUGGAAUAAUGUGAUUGAAUGAUAUGCACUCCAUGGAUUUGUUGAAAUGGCUUUAGAAAAUUUCAAGCAAAUGCAAUUGGUAGGUGUAAAGCCAAAUGCCACAACCUUUGCAAGCAUCCUCCAUGAUUGUGCCAAAAUGGGAGCUUUGAAAUAGGGCAUGGACAUCCAUUAAAGCAUAAAGUAUUGAAGAAUUUUGUGAGAUGUUGUAGUUGCAACUUCCCUGGUUGACAUGUUGCAAAUUAUGGUCCAGCAUAGACAAGACAUUUCAAUUGUUUGACAGGAUGCCUCAAGGAAAUGCGGUUUCAUGGACUGCAACGAUUGCAGGAUAUGUACAAAAUGGAUUCAUUGAAAAGGCUGUAGAAACUUUCAAGCAAAUGCAAGUGGCAGGUUUAAAGCCAGAUUCCACAACCUUUGUUAGCGUCCUUCCUGCUUGUCCCAAAAUGGGAGCAAAAUGCUUUUCAUGUUUCCCUGUUAAUAUGAUUCAAGAUUCAAUGGGAAUGUGAUGUCUUUUGCAUCCUAUAAACUAGUGUAGAAGCCAAUAGAUACUAGCUCCAGUGCUUUUGCAUGAUCGUUAAAAAAUGGCCCUUCAACCAUUUCUUAACUUGACUCUGGUGUUAAGAUUGGUGAAUAUUUUCUUUUCUAUUUUUAUGCAAUGGGUACCAACUCUUCUACUGCCA
Long non-coding RNA from Cryptomeria japonica (Japanese cedar), 1741 nucleotides. RefSeq lists it as uncharacterized. The transcript is spliced from 2 exons. The record is from RefSeq and is a predicted model, not a curated record. Lineage: Eukaryota; Viridiplantae; Streptophyta; Pinopsida; Cupressales; Cupressaceae.